This 324-nucleotide ribosomal RNA is filed under the name uncultured eukaryote. RNAcentral describes it as "partial 18S ribosomal RNA". It matches the Rfam family "Eukaryotic small subunit ribosomal RNA", at positions 1470 to 1796 of the family's 1831-position model. The record is from RNAcentral.
CCCUUAGAUGUCCUGGGUUGCACGCGCGCUACACUGAUGUGUCCAGUAAGCACCUAACCUCUUCCGAAAGGAACGGGUAACCUUUGCAAAGCACAUCGUGAUGGGGAUAGAUUAUUGCAAUUAUUAGUCUUGAACGAGGAAUUCCUAGUAAGCACAAGUCAUCAGCUUGUGUUGAUUACGUCCCUGCCCUUUGUACACACCGCCCGUCGCUCCUACCGAUUGAAUGUUCCGGUGAGCUCUUCGGACUGCGCGGUCUGCAGUUUCUGCGUUCCGUGCGGAAAGUUGCGCAAACCUUAACAUUUAGAGGAAGGAGAAGUCGUAACA